RNAcentral lists this ribosomal RNA (333 nucleotides) under uncultured bacterium. RNAcentral's name for it is "bacterial SSU rRNA". It matches the Rfam family "Bacterial small subunit ribosomal RNA", at positions 31 to 358 of the family's 1533-position model. The record is from RNAcentral.
GAACGCUGUCCGCGUGCUUAAAAAAGCAAGUGGAGCGACGAACCAGGCUUCGGCCUGGGGCAUUGCCCCGAACGGGUGAGUAACACGUGGGUAACGUGCCCCGAUGACCGGGACAACCCGGGGAAACCCGGGCUAAUACCGGAUGUGCUGUCCCAACACCAGUUGGGAUUGGAAAGGAAGCUUCGGCCUCCGCAUCGGGAUCGGCCCGCGGCCCAUUAGCUUGUUGGUGAGGUAACGGCUCACCAAGGCUGCGAUGGGUAGCUGGUCUGAGAGGACGAUCAGCCACACUGGGACUGAGACACGGCCCAGACUCCUACGGGAGGCAGCAGUGGG